CCUCUCCGGAUACCUAAUCGACAUCUACCAUUCAUUUGCAUUUAAUCAAAUCACUCUCCAGGUCUCCAUGUCUGAUCGUUAUCUUCAUUUCUUCUUCAUUCUCACUCAAAAUCAUAGCUGCCCUCAAAUCCUUUCCUUUUCCUUCUAUGCCCCCAGGAGAUCAAGAAAACCCUAAUCGGCCUCAAUCGUCAGUUACGGUCUUUCAAUGCGUGGACCGUCAAUUAGGUUUCAAUGAUUACCAUCCUUGAUUCCACACUCAGAAACCAAUUAUAAAUGGUGGAAUUCGGAUCGGAGAAAGGGGGCACACGUAAGCGAAACAGAGGAAUAAGUUCGAUGGAUUCAAUGGAGUCUUAUCACUGGGUGUUUCAGAACGAGCAGGAUUAAGGUCGAUUUAAAGGACAAUGACAGUGGUGAUGGAGAUAAUAUCAUGUUGCAUAUUAUGGAUUCGGAUGAUGAAGAUAGUUUGCACUAGAAGUUGAUUCACACUGGACCGAAGAUUGAUUCGUUCGGAGUGGAAACUUUUGACGUUCCUGGUGCUCACAGGAUUGAUUUUCAGUUGUUGAUGUAGAAAGGAAUUGGAGUAUGACCAUCGUUGAAGAGAAGCCGAAUUCAAUAUACGUUUCAAUGUUAUUAUGUUUCGAUCUUAUUUUUGUCUUCUUAUACAACGCUUAUUUUGUUACAGGAAAUUUACUUCUGGAAUUUACGCAGAAGAUUGUAUAUUUGAAUAUCCAACCAUUAGAUUCAGUGCGUGGCCAAUGCAGGUAGGGAUUUGUAUUCUUGCAACUUAAAAUUGCUCGUACCUUUCUUUGACGAUCCCUCAAUCUCAUUCCAAGGCAUUACAAAGGUAUUAAGUGGUGAGACAGAGUCUGUAAAGGCCACAUGCAAACUAAGGACUUAUCUUAACCUACCUUGGAGGCCUCUUAUUUCCGUUGAUGGGACUGCGGUCUAUGAUUUGUACAAUCAGUUUAGAAUUGUUAAACAUGUAGAAAGUUGGAGUGUUUCCCCUUUAGAAGCUAUUGGCCAGAUAUUCACACCUAACUCCAGCCGCUCCAUUUGAUUUGGUAAAUAUCCUUAAGGGAAAAGUCAGUUAUACCUUUAAAAAUCAUGUCAAAUGGGUUCGGGUCAAAACUGGUUGGCUCAGAGAGGGUUUUUUAUGUUGGUUAGUGGUGGCAGCGGUGGUGUUGUCAUGUCAACUGCUGUGGUGGCAUCAACAUCGACUGGUAAGUGACCCUCCUUACUCUAACAUGAUUGUAGUCCUUUGGUGGCGCUAUAUUUUGCGUUUCCCUGUGUAAAUUUCAGCUCCCUCUUCUUGUCCUUUUCCAUUUCAUUCUUCAUCUAGCUUUCUUUAAUGAAAUGGUGAAUCAUGUUUACUUAUUGUUUUAAGUAUAUUAGAAUGAUCUCUACCUAUAUGACUGCAGUUAAAUUUUGAAGACAAAGGCAUAUGGUCUAAACUAAAAUGACUUUUAGCUAGGUGUAUAUGUGCCUCUCUUUAAAAAAAUGAUGAAUAAUUUUAUUCUAUGUUGACUUCUUUCAAUUCUUGGAAAGCCCAAAAUGCUCGGUGAUCGCCAACCAUAAAGGUGAAUUCCAAUUUACAACUUUCGUUGUUUUGCUUUUUGCAAUUGGUGGGUUUAGGGAAGCUGAUUUGGAAAGCUUAAAGUACUCAUUUUUUCAUGAUUUCAUUCUGUUCACUUCAUUAAUAUUAAGGAACUUGAAUUUAUAUUAACUUCACUUCUUUUGGUUAUCGAGAAGCAAGAGUCAUGAGGGGAAAGAUGCACUUGGUUAUGCUAAUGUUUAUUCGUUGUUUCCCAUUAGGUUAACCAUUAUUCUUUUUUUAAUUGUUCAUGAAUGGUUUUAUUGUUGUAUUUUUUCAGGUUUUUGGUCGUGUCACCUGACAUUGAGAUUGCUAAGAGUACAUUGCAAGCUUUCAUAGAUUUAGGCAGAAAGGUAACAAGCUAAUCUGUAGAGAGCGUGUGUGUAGGGGACGUGGGAGGGUUACACUACAAAGGCUCUAGCCAGCGGUUUACGGCUCCAUGGCGCGACUCCAUGGUCGGCUCUGUGGCUCUACUCAAUGGCUUGUAUGAAUUGUCGGUCAUGUUUGGUAACCGGUCUACUGUUUUAAGAUGAUGCAUGCAAUGGUACAUGGCCUGGUUCUUCACAUAUUAUUAAAGAUUUGUGGGCAAACGAGGUUGGUAAGAAGAAACAGUUGUUUUUAGUUUAUUUUUUUUUAUUUUUUUGGAUUUGCUUAACAUCGUUUUGUUUUGUAAUGGGGCGAUCUAAUUUUGUAAUUUAUAUUAUAUAGCAAAGAGUGGGGCACGGUUGAGUCUUCAGGAUUAUCCCUUUAUACCAAAAAACAGUUGCUCCUAGGUAACGAAAUCAACCGUUGAUAGCUUAUGUUCUUUGUUCGAACAUUAUGUACUUUAAAAUAAAAUUGGUUAAAGGAGUGUUGGCUAUUA
This is an RNA transcript of Helianthus annuus (common sunflower), 2453 nucleotides long. RefSeq lists it as uncharacterized. The transcript has 8 exons. NCBI's taxonomy places the organism in Eukaryota, Viridiplantae, Streptophyta, Magnoliopsida, Asterales, Asteraceae. The record is from RefSeq and is a predicted model, not a curated record.